UAGGGAAUAGUAGAAAUGGACGAAAGUCUGAUCUAGCAACACCGCGUGUGCGAAGAAGGCCUUUGGGUCGUAAAGCACUUUUUGGAAGGAAUAGGAAGGAAUGUACUUCCAGAAUAAGUCUCGGCUAACUACGUGCCAGCAGCCGCGGUAACACGUAGGAGGCGAACGUUAUCCGGAUUUACUGGGCGUAAAGCGCGUGUAGGUGGUUUGGUAAGUAGGGCGUGAAAGCUCCUGGCUCAACUGGGAGAGGCCGUUCUAAACUGCCGAACUAGAGGAUGGUAGAGGGAGGUGGAAUUCCGGGUGUAGCGGUGGAAUGCGCGGAUAUCCGGAGGAACACCAGUGGCGAAAGCGGCCUCCUGGACCAUUCCUGACACUCAGACGCGAAAGCUAGGGUAGCAAACGG
Molecule: ribosomal RNA, 403 nt
Filed under: uncultured bacterium
Lineage: Bacteria
Description: bacterial SSU rRNA
Rfam family: Bacterial small subunit ribosomal RNA
Source: RNAcentral